Osmia bicornis bicornis is the source of this 1369-nucleotide long non-coding RNA. RefSeq lists it as uncharacterized. NCBI's taxonomy places the organism in Eukaryota, Metazoa, Arthropoda, Insecta, Hymenoptera, Megachilidae. The record is from RefSeq and is a predicted model, not a curated record. The transcript is spliced from 3 exons.
GCCUGCCGCCUGCCUGCCUGCUAGCCAGCCACCCCAAGUUCCCUUCUAGGCGGUUCUUCAAGCAAACAAUGUCUCGUUUCGUCGAUGAGCGUAGACACCCGGUAGACGAGCUGCAACCCACGUGACUGAACAAGGUUUCCAGAGAUGACAACCACUGGGAUCAGCCACAGAGGACGAAUCCUAACACAAUUUCACGAGGAUCACCCGUUAUAUACCCAGACCGAUCUGUUCGCGUAAUAUUAUAGUCCGGUGAACAGUAAUCUGGGUUACGCCCUCCCCUCGAUUCAUAAGAACCACGCGUUAAAACGGGAGAGAUCGUGAUUUCUCUCCUACCAUCUCCUUCUCUCUUUCACCUCUGUUUCCUCUUCUCUACUAUCUCCUUUCCUAGCUUUCCUUUCCUUUUUCUUUCGACCCGACUUCAUUUUUUUUUUUCAUUCGCAUCCCCCCAAAUUAUGUCAUCGUCCACUAUCGUCUCUAUUAACUUUGGAGCACUGUUUAAAUUUUAUUUCAGACUGGUUCUCAUUUUCAUUUUCAAAAUUUGAAACUGUACGUUUUCAAGAAGUUUUUCCUACGCUUAUUUCUUACGUUUCAGUGAAUUUUUCCUAUGCUCAGUUUUGCUCCUUAGUUACAACGUCCUGCUUGAACGAGCGAGCGAAACGAACGCUUUGCAUUUGCUUCCUCCGAGAAGCGAAUUUUUUUAUCCUACAACGUUCUACUUCGCUCUACUCUACUUUUUUCAACCGUGGUCCACUUUCCCGCGUUAAUUCUGGAUUUACGAGCGUCCGUUUGCCGGUGUAACACGAGUUUCGCGAACCUGGCGAUUCCUUGUCUCGCGAAAUUGCCACCUGCAAUAUUUUAAGGACCCAAAACUUUGCAAACACCAAUUGUGUUUUCAUUCAAUUUUUCCCCUUUGCUUCGUAAACGUUCAAAUUACGCAUUGCCCUCCGUUUUGUUUGCAGAGACGACAGGACCUGACCCAGCAAAUUUUAUUGAGUAAAUCAAGGUCGAGCAAAUUAAGGGGAACAUACGGUGCCGUUCGGAUGGCCGGGAUCUCUCUGUCGUGACGCAGAAAAAUCAAAUUAAACAGCCGCUUUUAAGUCGAAUUAAAACGAAUGCGCUUAAUUAAAGCGGCCUCCGCCGCUGAACUAAAGGAGUUUUAUUGACGUCGAGCUGCUCCUUUGUCGGUGCUACAUGUACCCUUUCAUUAUUAACUUAAAAGGUGUCCACCUUUUUUCCUUUCUUUCUCGGUUUUGAUCGUAAAUAAAGGCCAAAUGUUAUGGCAGAUUCCUAUGUUUAUGAAUGAACACCGUUUGCGGAUAAAAAAUAAUGUAUCCCGUUAAUGACUCAAUAAAGUACUUAUUCCUUGAAA